CCGCACUCCCGGGGCGUUAAUUACUCAUUCCGAGUAAAGGCGCACCUAGAGCGUACAUGUUGGGUCCCGAAAGAUGGUGAACUAUACCUGACCAGGAUGAAGCCAGGGGAAACCCUGGUGGAGGUCCGUAGGGAUUCUGACGUGCAAAUCGAUCGUCAGAGUUAGGUAUAGGGGCGAAAGACUAAUCGAACCAUCUAGUAGCUGGUUCCCUCCGAAGUUUCCCUCAGGAUAGCUGGUGCCGAUGAUGAUCAGAGUCUCAUCUGGUAAAGCGAAUGAUUAGAGGCCUUGGGG
Molecule: ribosomal RNA, 291 nt
Filed under: Nannocoris sp. Bra 0974
Lineage: Eukaryota; Metazoa; Arthropoda; Insecta; Hemiptera; Schizopteridae
Description: partial 28S ribosomal RNA
Rfam family: Eukaryotic large subunit ribosomal RNA
Source: RNAcentral